CAAACAUCAUGUACAGGUCAAAUUCUUAUGGAAGAAGCAGAGACAAUGUCAUCUUUUUAGCAGUCGAUUAAAUCUGGGAACUAUAUUAAAGAUCUCGAUCAGUGUUGAGAACAUCACAAAGGCUUUGAUCCGUGAAGCCCAAUAAGGUGGAGAUGUGCGAGUAAUACGGAUCGAAAUGAGAUGUGUGAUUAAUACGGAUCGAAAUGUCCAAGUACCAAGAUCCGCGUGUUUUACCAAAGGACCCGAGUAUAGGAUCCGAGAUCCGCGUCCCAACAGAGGCAAUUUUACGAUUUUACCCUUUUUGAAAUGUUUUUUUUUGUUGUUUAAUACUGAAAUUGUAAUGGCAUUCCCUUGUAAUUUUUUACACUUUUUAAGGUUAUUUUUCAGGGAAUGCUUCCCAAUUAAUAGUAUAGAUUACUUUGUCA
Long non-coding RNA from Arabidopsis lyrata subsp. lyrata, 425 nucleotides. RefSeq lists it as uncharacterized. The transcript is spliced from 2 exons. NCBI's taxonomy places the organism in Eukaryota, Viridiplantae, Streptophyta, Magnoliopsida, Brassicales, Brassicaceae. The record is from RefSeq and is a predicted model, not a curated record.